GAUCACUGCUAUUGGGGUUCGACUAAGCCAUGCGAGUCGAGAGGGUUUAGACCCUCGGCAAACGGCUCAGUAACACGUGGAUAAUCUGCCCUCAGGACAGGGAUAACCCCGGAAAACUGGGGAUAAUACCCGAUAGGUGGAGAAGUCUGGAACGGCUCUCCGCUCAAAUGCUCCGGCGCCUGAGGAUGAGUCUGCGACCGAUUAGGUUGUUGGCGGUGUAACGGACCACCAAGCCUAAGAUCGGUACGGGUGUUGAGAGACAGAGCCCGGAGAUGGGGACUGAGACACGGCCCCAGGCCCUACGGGGCGCAGCAGGCGCGAAAACUCCGCAAUACACGAAAGUGUGACGGGGGAACCCCAAGUGCAUUCACAUUAGUGAGUGCUUUUGUGAAGUGUAAAUAGCUUUACGAAUAAAAGCGGGGUAAGACCGGUGCCAGCCGCCGCGGUAACACCGGCCGCUUGAGUGGUGAUCACUAUUAUUGGGCCUAAAGCGUCCGUAGCCGGUUUGGUAAGUCCUUGGGCAAAUCCUGUCGCUUAACGGCAGGAAUUCUAGGGAUACUGCUAGACUUGAGGUCGAGAGAGGUCGGAGGUACUCCUGGGGUAGCGGUGAAAUGCUAUAAUCCUGGGGGGACCACCAGUGGCGAAAGCGUCCGACCAGAGCGAGCCUGACGGUAAGGGACGAAAGCCAGGGUAGCGAACGGGAUUAGAUACCCCGGUAGUCCUGGCCGUAAACGCUGUGGGCUAGGUGUUGCAUGCUCUACGAGGGCAUGCAGUGCCGAAGAGAAGUUGAUAAGCCUACCGCCUGGGAAGUACUAUCGCAAGAUAGAAACUUAAAGGAAUUGGCGGGGGAGCACCACAAGGGGUGAAGUCUGCGGUUCAAUUGGAUUCAACGCCGGAAAUCUCACUGGAAGCGACGGCAGGAUGAUGGCCAAGCUGAUGACUUUGCUUGACGAGCCGAGAGGAGGUGCAUGGCCGUCGUCAGCUCGUACCGUAAGGCGUCCUGUUAAGUCAGGCAACGAGCGAGACCCGU
RNAcentral lists this ribosomal RNA (1030 nucleotides) under uncultured archaeon. Its description in RNAcentral is "bacterial SSU rRNA". It matches the Rfam family "Archaeal small subunit ribosomal RNA", at positions 21 to 1055 of the family's 1478-position model. The record is from RNAcentral.